Molecule: ribosomal RNA, 443 nt
Filed under: uncultured bacterium
Lineage: Bacteria
Description: partial 16S ribosomal RNA
Rfam family: Bacterial small subunit ribosomal RNA
Source: RNAcentral
CCUACGGGAGGCAGCAGUGGGGAAUAUUGGGCAAUGGGCGCAAGCCUGACCCAGCAACGCCGCGUGAAGGAAGAAGGCUUUCGGGUUGUAAACUUCUUUUUUCAGGGACGAAGAAAGUGACGGUACCUGAGGAAUAAGCCACGGCUAACUACGUGCCAGCAGCCGCGGUAAUACGUAGGUGGCAAGCGUUAUCCGGAUUUAUUGGGUGUAAAGGGCGUGUAGGCGGGUGCGCAAGUCAGAUGUGAAAACUCAGGGCUCAACCCUGAGCCUGCAUUUGAAACUGUGUUUCUUGAGUGCUGGGGAGGCGAGCGGAAUUCCGUGUGUAGCGGUGAAAUGCGUAGAUAUACGGAGGAACACCAGUGGCGAAGGCGGAUUGCUGGACAGUAACUGACGCUGAGGCGCGAAAGCGUGGGGAGCAAACAGGAUUAGAUACCCCGGUAGUC